CUCACAAUAUAUCACAACCAUAAUUAUGAACCACAAAUCAUAAUAUCACAACCAUAUUACAAGUCUCAGCAUGUUCAUCAUCAUUCACAUGUUUAUUACAACAAGUUCAUCAAAUCCAAACACAAGUCACAAAUAUAACCCACAAAUCACGCUAAAGUCCAACCACAUCACCUACCACGAGUCCUCAUCAAGGUAGCCUAUGAGACGAUGGUGAAGGAAAGGCCUGAUCACCUGGUGACGCAUUUGCAGGAUGAUUCGAACCCGCGGACGGAGGCUGCACAAAGAAGCAGAGAUUGCAUGUUUGAGUAAUAUGGGAAAAAAUAUUAAAAAUUUUGGCAGCACCUCCCCUAAACAGGGAGGUUUACAAAACCUGCAAAAACAACGGCACGAAGGCCGACAUCCACAACGACACGAAGGCCAACAUACAUGCAAAGACAAGUGAAAAGCGGACUUUUAUACUUACAGUAGUAGCUGUAGGAGUAGGAGGAGGAGCUGAAAACAGCACAGGUACACCCGAUGCUUGCCCAAGACUUUGCAUGAUCACCAUCAUCUCCGCCAUCUGCUUCUGCGCUCCCUCGAACGCGGCCUUCUGUGCCUCUAGCUGUGCGGUUAGUGCCGCGGUCUGCUCUUGGCUUUGCCUUUUUGUUUCUU
RNAcentral lists this long non-coding RNA (651 nucleotides) under Sorghum bicolor (sorghum). RNAcentral's name for it is "long non-coding RNA (SBIC_LNC003624)". The record is from RNAcentral. Lineage: Eukaryota; Viridiplantae; Streptophyta; Magnoliopsida; Poales; Poaceae.